Tripterygium wilfordii is the source of this 429-nucleotide long non-coding RNA. RefSeq lists it as uncharacterized. NCBI's taxonomy places the organism in Eukaryota, Viridiplantae, Streptophyta, Magnoliopsida, Celastrales, Celastraceae. The record is from RefSeq and is a predicted model, not a curated record. The transcript has 3 exons.
UAUAAAACAAAGAAGAAGUUCGAGGAACCGAGAGAGAGAAAGGGAAAAUGUGAAGAGAGAAUGUGAUUUUUGAGGGAGAUAAAGGGAAAAGAAGAUGGAAUCAAGAGUUUGAGACUUUCAUAGGCUUGGAUUCCAAGAUUUCUUCAAGAUUGAGGUUUGAGCUUGGAUUGAAGUGUGGAGAUAGGAGGAGAAGUGGUUGAGCUAAGGAUUGAAGAUUUGGGGCAAGGUUAUUGAACUUGGAAGAUUGGUGGCUAGAGUUAUGGUGAGAUUUUGCUCAAACGAGAUAGGGAUUUUCUUAGCCCUUAAUCUCAAAACACUAUUGGCUACCCGAAUUGUGUUAAAUUCAUUAGUUUCCGCCUUUUUGUUCAAGGGGAAACAAACCUUGGAUUAUGUGCUAUUGUGAACUCAAAUUGCUAUGUUGUGUGUUUA